AUGGGGCAGGCGCUGCGCAGGCUCUUCGACUCCUUCUUCUCCACCAAGGAGAUGAGGGUUGUGAUGCUUGGUUUGGAUUCAGCUGGCAAAACAACAAUCUUGUAUAGGCUGCACCUGGGGGAGGUUCUUCAAACUGUGCCUACAGUAGGUUUUAACGUCGAGAAAGUUCAGUACAAGAAUGUGGCAUUUACCGUGUGGGAUGUUGGUGGACAAGAAAAGCUCAGACAAUUAUGGAGGAUGUACCUCAGCAAUUCUGAUGCACUGAUCUAUGUUGUUGAUUCUUUGGACAGAGAAAGGAUCGAAGAUGCCAGACAAGAAUUCCAGAGCAUUAUCAAGGACCCUUUGAUGGCAAACAGCAUAAUCUUGGUAUUAGCAAACAAACAGGACUUGAAAGGUUCAAUGAGCCCGGAGGAGGUCAUUGAAGGGCUGGGCCUGCAUGAUCUCAAGAACAGGAUAUGGCACAUACAGGGGACGUGCGCGCUGCGCGGCGAGGGCCUCUACGACGGGCUCGACUGGCUCGCGUCCACCCUGAAGCAGCUGCAGGAGACAGGCCAUGCUACUUCAAUUGCUGGACCUUCUAUCUAG
Molecule: ribosomal RNA, 585 nt
Filed under: Triticum aestivum (bread wheat)
Lineage: Eukaryota; Viridiplantae; Streptophyta; Magnoliopsida; Poales; Poaceae
Description: partial small subunit ribosomal RNA
Source: RNAcentral